UGACGCUGGCGGCAGGCCUAACACAUGCAAGUCNAGCGGUAACAUUUCUAGCUUGCUAGAAGAUGACGAGCGGCGGACGGGUGCGUAACACGUAGGAAUCUGCCUAGUAGUGGGGGAUAGCCCGGAGAAAUCCGGAUUAAUACCGCAUACGCCCUAAGGGGGAAAA
Molecule: ribosomal RNA, 166 nt
Filed under: gamma proteobacterium Kspo1
Lineage: Bacteria; Pseudomonadati; Pseudomonadota; Gammaproteobacteria
Description: partial 16S ribosomal RNA
Rfam family: Bacterial small subunit ribosomal RNA
Source: RNAcentral